RNAcentral lists this non-coding RNA (24 nucleotides) under Arabidopsis thaliana (thale cress). Lineage: Eukaryota; Viridiplantae; Streptophyta; Magnoliopsida; Brassicales; Brassicaceae. The record is from RNAcentral.
GGGAGCCGAUCAUUCCAACUUCAG